RNAcentral lists this ribosomal RNA (465 nucleotides) under Corynebacterium bovis. Its description in RNAcentral is "bacterial SSU rRNA". It matches the Rfam family "Bacterial small subunit ribosomal RNA", at positions 27 to 506 of the family's 1533-position model. The record is from RNAcentral. Lineage: Bacteria; Bacillati; Actinomycetota; Actinomycetes; Mycobacteriales; Corynebacteriaceae.
GGACGAACGCUGGCGGCGUGCUUAACACAUGCAAGUCGAACGGAAAGGCCCCAGCUUGCUGGGGUACUCGAGUGGCGAACGGGUGAGUAACACGUGGGUGAUCUGCCCUGCACUCUGGGAUAAGCCUGGGAAACUGGGUCUAAUACCGGAUAGGACCGUGCUUUAGUGUGUGCGGUGGAAAGUUUUUCGGUGCAGGAUGAGCCCGCGGCCUAUCAGCUUGUUGGUGGGGUAAUGGCCUACCAAGGCGGCGACGGGUAGCCGGCCUGAGAGGGUGUACGGCCACAUUGGGACUGAGACACGGCCCAGACUCCUACGGGAGGCAGCAGUGGGGAAUAUUGCACAAUGGGCGCAAGCCUGAUGCAGCGACGCCGCGUGGGGGAUGACGGCCUUCGGGUUGUAAACCCCUUUCGGCAGGGACGAAGCUUUUGUGACGGUACCUGCAUAAGAAGCACCGGCUAACUACGU